Molecule: non-coding RNA, 26 nt
Filed under: Drosophila melanogaster (fruit fly)
Lineage: Eukaryota; Metazoa; Arthropoda; Insecta; Diptera; Drosophilidae
Also listed under: 4 other names
Source: RNAcentral
GGAAGUAAAAGUCGUAACAAGGUUUC